UNCCAUGUGUAGCGGUGAAAUGCGUAGAUAUAUGGAGGAACACCAGUGGCGAAAGCGGCUCUCUGGUCUGUCACUGACGCUGAGGCUCGAAAGCGUGGGUAGCGAACAGGAUUAGAUACCCUGGUAGUCCACGCCGUAAACGAUGAGUGCUAGGUGUUAGGCCCUUUCCGGGGCUUAGUGCCGGAGCUAACGCAAUAAGCACUCCGCCUGGGGAGUACGACCGCAAGGUUGAAACUCAAAGGAAUUGACGGGGGCCCGCACAAGCGGUGGAGCAUGUGGUUUAAUUCGAAGCAACGCGAAGAACCUUACCAGGUCUUGACAUCCCGAUGCUAUUCUUAGAGAUAGGAAGUUACUUCGGUACAUCGGAGACAGGUGGUGCAUGGUUGUCGUCAGCUCGUGUCGUGAGAUGUUGGGUUAAGUCCCGCAACGAGCGCAACCCUUAUUGUUAGUUGCCAUCAUUAAGUUGGGCACUCUAGCGAGACUGCCGGUAAUAAACCGGAGGAAGGUGGGGAUGACGUCAAAUCAUCAUGCCCCUUAUGACCUGGGCUACACACGUGCUACAAUGGUCGGUACAACGAGUUGCGAGCCGGUGACGGCAAGCUAAUCUCUGAAAGCCGAUCUCAGUUCGGAUUGGAGGCUGCAACUCGCCUCCAUGAAGUCGGAAUCGCUAGUAAUCGCGGAUCAGCACGCCGCGGUGAAUACGUUCCCGGGCCUUGUNC
RNAcentral lists this ribosomal RNA (719 nucleotides) under uncultured bacterium. RNAcentral's name for it is "bacterial SSU rRNA". It matches the Rfam family "Bacterial small subunit ribosomal RNA", at positions 667 to 1386 of the family's 1533-position model. The record is from RNAcentral.